This 460-nucleotide ribosomal RNA is filed under the name uncultured bacterium. RNAcentral's name for it is "partial 16S ribosomal RNA". It matches the Rfam family "Bacterial small subunit ribosomal RNA", at positions 338 to 795 of the family's 1533-position model. The record is from RNAcentral.
CCUACGGGGCGCAGCAGUGAGGAAUAUUGGUCAAUGGACGAGAGUCUGAACCAGCCAAGUAGCGUGAAGGAUGACUGCCCUAUGGGUUGUAAACUUCUUUUAUAUGGGAAUAAAAUGUUCCACGUGUGGGAUUUUGUAUGUACCAUAUGAAUAAGGAUCGGCUAACUCCGUGCCAGCAGCCGCGGUAAUACGGAGGAUCCGAGCGUUAUCCGGAUUUAUUGGGUUUAAAGGGAGCGUAGGGGGAUUGUUAAGUCAGUUGUGAAAGUUUGCGGCUCAACCGUAAAAUUGCAGUUGAAACUGGCAGUCGUGAGUACAGUAGAGGUGGGCGGAAUUCGUGGUGUAGCGGUGAAAUGCUUAGAUAUCACGAAGAACUCCGAUUGCGAAGGCAGCUCACUGGACUGCAACUGACACUGAGGCUCGAAAGUGUGGGUAUCAAACAGGAUUAGAUACCCCAGUAGUC